Molecule: long non-coding RNA, 10953 nt
Filed under: Citrus x clementina
Lineage: Eukaryota; Viridiplantae; Streptophyta; Magnoliopsida; Sapindales; Rutaceae
Description: Citrus clementina (C. clementina) long non-coding RNA (CCLE_LNC000430)
Source: RNAcentral
CAUGAAAUCAUAAUUAACUCAAGAUUAAGAUUACAGUAAAAUCAACGCCUAUGAGAUUUAAUAAGUCUGACAGUUAUUACAAAGUUAAUUAAAUCUCAUAUGUGAUCCUGUUCAAUGUAGUCGUACUACAUCAAUAAAUUCAUACAUGAUUAAGACAAAUCAUUUAAUGAAUUUAUUACAGUCUAUACCUAAAUAAAGUGCCCAACUUUAUUUAUCAACUGCGAACUAAAUUUAUUUAAUCAUAAGAUAACUUGUAUUUAUGUCUUCUGUGAAUCCACAUGGUGAUCACAUAAAUACAUAUAAUAUGAUUAAAUGGACUUUAAUACAAAUAUAAAUGCAAUUAAGAUAUUUGAAUAAAAUACCUCAUUUAUUUUAUUAAUCAGAAAAAUUGUUUAUUACAAUUAAAUAAACACAUAUGCUUUUAAAGAGCAUAUUUUCCCAACAAUCUCCCAGUAGCUCUCAAAGCAUAUCUGGCAUAUUGCACAUGCUCUAGGAGUCUAAGUGCAGGUUAUAAAGGUUUCCCACUAAUGGCCAUUGUAAUAAGAUUUGCCAUUUAGCAUCUAAUGCCAUUUGGGGUACUUUCAUAUAACCUUUCUACACUAUUCCCUUAUAAGAUGAUACUUCCUUUCAAUAUGUUUUGUUUCUUGUGGUUCCUUGGUUCCUUAGAUUGAGCUACCGCACCACCAUUAUCACAAAAUAGUUUAAGGGGUGCAGUUACAACAGGUAUCACCUCAAGAUUUCGUAGGAACUUGCAGAGUCAUAUAGCUUCUUUUGCAGCUUCAGAUGUAGCCACAUAUUCAGCUUUAGUUAUUGAGUCUGUGAUAUAAGAUUGUUUCACACUCAUCCAACUAAUAGCUCCACUUCCCAAUGUAAACACAUAGCUGGAAGUUGAUUUUCUAAAAUCCUUAUCUGACAAAAAAUCAGAAUUAGUAUAACCCACUAGAAUGAGUUCAUCACCAGAAUACACAAGCAUAUAAUUUUUAGUUCUUUUCAGAUACUUUAUAAUAUGCUUGACUGCAGUCCAGUAUUGAGGUCCAGGAUUAAAUUGAUAUUUGCUAACCAUCCCUACCGCAAAACAGAUGUCUGGCCUAGUGCAAAGCAUGGCAUACACGAGACUUCCCACAGCGUCUGCAUAGGGAACUCGUCUUCUUUCUCUCUAUCUCUUCAGAUGUUUUAGGUGAUUGAUCCUUAGAGAAUGUAAUUCCAUGUCUGAAUGGUAAUAAACCAGUCUUGGAAUUUUCCAUGCUAAAUCUAGUCAAUAUCUUAUCGAUAUACACCGCUUGAGACAAGGUUAAAGUUUUAUUCUUCCGGUCUCAUAGUAACUUGAUACCAAGAAUAUAACUUGUCUCUCCCAGGUCUUUUAUAUCAAAUUGUUUUGCUAACCAAAUCUUUAUUGUAGUCAAUACUCCUAUAUCAUUUCCAAUCAGGAGAAUAUUGUCUACACAAAGAACUAGGAAGGCUACAAAUUUUCCCUGAAUUUUUUUUUUUUUUUUUUUACACACAUGGUUCAUCAAUGUUCUGAAUGAAUCCAAGCGAUUUAAUCGCUUGAUCAAAUCUGAUGUUCUAUGACUGGGAUGCUUGCUUCAAUCUAUAAAUGGAUCUCUGCAACUUACAUACCAUGUGUACUUGCCCUUUUUGUAUAAAUCCAUCUGGUUGCUGCAUGUAGAUGUUUUCUUCAAGAUGCCUGUUAAGAAAGGCAGUCUUGACAUCCAUUUGCCAAAUUUCAUAAUCUAGCACUGCAGCAAUGGAGAGCAGAAUCCUGAUGGAUUUAAGCAUAGCAACCGGAGAAAAGGUUUCCUCAUAAUUGAUUCCUUCUUUCUGAGUAAACCCUUCGGCUACUAAUCUUGCUUUAAAUGUUUCCACCCUUCCGUCUACUCCUCUUUUUCUCUUGUAGAUCCACUUGCACCCUAUAGGUUUUACCCCAUUUGGUGCCUCUACAAGUUCCCAGACUUUAUUGGAAUACAUAGAUUCCAUUUCUUGAUUCAUGGCCUUUUUCAAAAUUCAACAUCUCUAUCUAUUAGAGUUUCGUUGUAACUAGUAGGAUCUUGUACAUGUUUAUCUGAGAUAGCCGUAUAGGUUUCUCCCAAAAACAUGCAUCUCGCAGGUAACCUAGUUACCCUCCCACUACGACGAGGUUCUAAAAGUGAUGAUUGUUCAAGGAUAAUCCUGUUCUGAUCAGCUGGUUGUUCUGUUCUUCCUAUUCUAUAACAGGUGUUGAAAGCUGAGCAUCAACCUGAUCUCUUUUGUUUCUCUAGUUUUACCUUACUCUUAGGUUAUAAGUCAUUAUAUAGUCUUCCUCAAAGAAAGUAAAGAAUAUUUCUAUAAAUACAUUCCUAUCUUGAGGACUAUAAUUCAGACUUUCCCUUAUUCCUUUAAGAUACCUAAAACAUGCAAGCUUCUGAACACGAAUCCAUCUUGUCUAUCUCUGAUUCUAGUAGAAAUACUAGUAAACUCCAAAUACGAAUGUGUCUCAAACCAUGUUUGUGACUUUUUCAUAAUUUCUUGGAGUAGUAGACACCGAGAUAGAUGAAACUAAGUUCAAUAAACUUUGUAGUUUCAAAUUCUAGUAUCUAGAAUCCAAAAGGUAAAUGAUAAACCACUUAGUAUAUAUCUUGUCUUAUCCAAAAGAAUCUUGUUUCUCCAUUUAAUUACACUAUUGUAUCAUAGUGUUCAUUGACAACCAAAUAGUGCUUGAAUUCUCCAUAGGGAUAUUCUUUGUUUCGAUCAUAUCGAAGUUCUUUUAUGUUCCUGUCUAAUUGCUUCUGUCUUAUCCACGUACUCUUUUGAAUUUCAAAAGCAAUGGAAUCAUGACGCAUUUAGACAAACAUAAAUAAAAUGAAUAUUCAUCAACAAGAUUGAUAGAAUACUCAUAACCUCUUAUUACAUGUAAACUGAUUAGUCCGUAUACAUUUGUAUGCGCUAAAUCAUCAAAUACAAUGUUAUGCUUUUAGCUCAAAAAGAGCAUUCUUGUCAUAUUACUUUUCUAAAUAAGAUUUAUAGAGUUACAAUGAUCAAUCUUAAUAGGCCAACAAGUCUAUCAUUAAUCAUUUUCUUAAAAUCUUAUUAUAGUUUAUAUGACUUAAGCAUAAAUAUCAGAGGUGAUUUUUGGUUAGAAGAAACAUUUCUUUUCUUAGAUAAAUGCAUAUACUUUUUAUCAUUAUAUCUUACUUUGAAUAGAUCAAUGUACUUCUAUGAUAUAAAUUGUCUUUAUAAAUAACCAAAAUAAGUAAUAAACAGAGGAUCCAUAAAUAACAGUGUACUCCUGUUUAUUAAAACAAGCCACCGAAAUUAAAUUUCUCUAAUAUUUGGAAAAAUAAAGACAAAUAUCAAAACUAAAGUCUUGUAAAAAUUGAUCUAGUCUUUCAAUUGAUAUAAACUAGCAUGUCCUCAAUUGCUGUUUGAAGCUUUCUUCACUUAAUCUCUUGGUUUCCUGAAAACCAAAUAAAUGAAUUACAAAUAAGAUUAGUUAUCUCAGAAUUCAUUAUUGUAUGAUUCAAUAGAAAUCUGAACUAAUUAGGAAGCUUAAAGAUUUCCUAUACCUGAUUUUAAUAAUCUUAGGACAAUCUUUCUUCCAGUGACCCUUCUGUCCACAUUUGUAACACUUGCCUAUUGGCUUGCCACUUCUUUUAGUGGACAGUUUGCCGAUCCCAACUCUUGCUUGCUCAUUCUUGUCUUUCGACUUAAGCCUUGAAGAGAAUCCUUUUUCAGGAAGUUUUCUGCUAUGAUAAAAUUCUUCUAUAGCAUGUAGUUCGUGCAUUAAUUCAAUUAAGGUCAUAUCUUUAUUGUUUAAGAUAUAAUUGACCUUAAACUCUUUGAAUGUAUCAGGUAAAGAUUCAAUCACCAUGUUAAUCUUUGAUUUAUCAUUGAUUUGAACACCAUGAAUCUCUACCUCAUUCAAAUAGUCCAUCAUUUUGAGGACAUGAUCACGAACUUUUGUGCCCUCUUCCAUCUUAGUAUUCGUAAUACGUUUUAAUGCUGCUUCUCUGGCAAAAUGGGUAUUUUGCCCAAACAUCUGAUGAAGACUAGCCAUUAUUUCAGUGGUUGUUUCCAUGCUCUGAUGUUUCUUAUGCAGUUCCACAGAAAUCGAAGCCAAUAUAUAACGCUUAGCCAUUUUGUUAGCUUCGCACCAUUUCUCAUAAGGCUCCCUCUGAUUUCUAUAAUCGUAUAACGAUGGUUCAGGAGGGCAAGGCUGGGUCAACACAUAUUUGCUUCCCUUAGCAGUGAGAAUAUUAAAUAGAUUGAGUUUCCAAUCUAAAUAAUUUUCGCCAUUGAGUGCAUUUUUAACAAGGAUAAUUAAUAAUGGGUUGAUGGAAAACAUUUUCUGAAAAAAUAAAACAAAAUAAACAUGCAUAAAUAUUUUGAAACAAUAUUCACAAUAAAUGACAAAAAUGCAAAAAAUCAUAAAUGCAUUUUAAUUUAUUGUAACGAUAAUCUAGUACCGCUUUGACAAGCUAUCCGUUGGGGAAGUCAUGUCUACACUUACUAGACCCAAUUAUCCAUUAGAUUAUUUACUUUCAUGUAGAGACAUGAUAAAUAAUUAUCGUUAUUCCUUUGGGCCUAAAUUUGUUAACAGAGCUUCGUUGGGAAGGUUAAUAACAAACUUUAGUUGAGUGUAUAACCAUUGUUUCAAUCUAUGUAUUUUUCAUAUCAAUAGUCACCGUUGGGGUGAACAAUCGAUUGAAAAAUAUUUCAAUUUUAUCUAUGAAGAAGUUCAUCAAAUAAAAAUCUAAUAUAUAUACCCUCCGUAGGGAGCAUCACCGUAUCAUGAAGUCGAGGUAUAUAUAUAAUUUUAUUAUUGAACUAACAAUGGAGCCCGUGCAAAAAAUUAUCUUGAAUUUUUCCUCUCCCACUCAAUAUUUUAAAAUUGAUUUUUCCUUUUUAAAACAUUCAUAUUGUUAAUUGCAUGCUUCCUAUAAUAUUAUCUAGAUGAUAUCAAAUAUUAUUAAGCAUGUGCAAAUUUCAAACAAUAUAAUGAAAUUCAUAAUUAAUAAAUGACAUGUAUCAUUAUGCAUAGAGUGGCACUACCUAUUCUAUAUGACAUGUUAUCAUGGCAUGUUAUCAUCCAAAACAUAACAUAUAGAAAAACAAUUAAAUAAUCUUAAUUCAUGGCUUUCCUAGUAAUGAAAAAUACAUUAACCCUAAGCCUAAUCUUCAUUGGGCUUCUUGUCAAUGUCCAUCUUCCAUAAGUUUGUCUUUGUUAAUGGACUAGGGGAAAUUGGGCUUUUAAAUUUAUAAUUGGUCCAAUUUUAAUUUUGAAAGGAAAUAAAUAAAAUAAAUAGUUUUAAUUUUAUUUUUAUUAAAAUAAAAUUUUUGGACCAAAAAUAAAUUUAAUGUAUUUAAUUUUAUCUAUGCAUUUUUAAUCCUUUAAGCCUAAUUGAAAUUGGGCCUAAAACUAGGAUUCUUUAAGUCCAAAACGGUUUUUGGACUUAAAUGCAAAAAAUUAAAAAUGUUUCUGCCCAACUGAAAAAUAUGAAACUAUAGGGACCUCCACGAUAAAAACCAUGGAACCCUAAAAUCACAUUUUUCUUUUCCUCUUCUUCCCCAGCCGCCACCAGCACAAAAACCCAGCCGUUGUUUACUGUUUCCACACCGGACAGCCGUCAUCGACGCCGGAAAGACGCCAACCAGAACGCUCCGCGCCUCCAGCCUACGUUCACGCUGCUGCUUGGGCGCUGCAGCUGCUGCUCGCGCGCUGCAGCUGCUGCGUGUGCAGCUCGCGCGCUGCAGCUGCUGCGUGUGCAGCUCGCGCUGCUAGCAGCGUGGCUGCUGGCCGCUGCGCGCGCUGCUGGCAGCAUGUGCUGCUGGCCGCGCGCUGCUCGCGCAGCAGCGUAUGCUGCUGGCCGCUCGCUGCUGCGUGUGCUGGUUCGUUGCUGCAGUUUCCAGCACGUUUCCGCAAUUUUCCAGUGAUGAUGCUUCGGUGAUUUACAAAUUUUCAACGCAAAUUUUGGCUUUACCAAAUUUCAAUUACAGUAAAAUAAAUCAAGAGGGAAACAUGGUGAUAAAAAACCACCCCUCUUGUUACAGAUCCAAAGAAAAAUACAACGGAAAAUCUAACCAUGAAUUAAGACAAACCAAAACAUGCUUUAUUCAUAUAUUAAACAAAUAAUAUAUAUCUGAAUAAAUUGUGCCACUCUAAUACAUAAAUUUCAAGAAUGAUUUCAUACGAAAUUCUUAUAUAUUAAUAUGAGAUGACUCUGAUACCAAUUGUUGGGGAAAAAUUAGGUUUUUAAAUUUUUAUUAAACCUUUUGAAGAUCGCUCUCAUAUAAUAUAUAAGAAUACGUAAUCCAGAAAUCGUACCUUGAAAAUCCGAUUUGGCUUUUUCCGUUGAAAUGAUUUAGGCUCCUAGAUCACGAUCCGCCACCACCACUCCUGUUAGAUCACGAUCCGUCACCACCACGCUUGCUAGAUCACGAACUGUCACCAAUGAUCUUCCAGGUUAUGACUCAGGUUCGAUCUGCACUUGACGUGUGGGCGCCUUUAUCACUACCAAAGCAACUAGCACGAGAAAAUUUUUCUCUCAACAAUGGAGAGAAAAAUCUUAUUCUCUGAUCUGUAUAAAGUGGCUUCUCCUAUUUUCUUUAGGGAAAAAUAAGCCUUUUAUAUCACCCUUUAGUGAAAACCCUAGGCUCCAAAUAAUGCUCUAAAUAAAAUUCACGUUAUUUUCUUUUUCAAUAGGGGACCCACCUUGUAAAAUAACAUAAGGCCCCUUAUACAAAAGCUAAUUAAAUGGAGCCUCUCACUAGAUGAUAUAUUUAGGCUUUUGACCCAAAUAGCUAGUUAUCUUACUUAUUAGUCCAGUAGUGGUGCAGUCAAUUAAAUGAGCUAACCCGGGGAUCAUUUGGGAACAUACAAUAGUGGCUACAAUAAUUAGGCCUGUAAUUAAACUAGCCCAAUUAUUUAAUUCCAAAUCUACUCCACUAAAAGAUUGGAACUGACUUCCAUAAUUGUAUGCUCGAAUAAUAAUUCGUCCCAAGCCACAUUGAUUUCUUUACUGCACAAUCCUUUGUACCACAUCGUUAAUUAAAUUGAUAUCUCAACUGUCCAAUCAAUUUAAUAACAUCUUAUUCCUUGAUCCUUACUGGUUUUCUCUAAUGAUCAUUUUCAACAUACUAAAUAUGUUGACACACUCUGGCCAGAGAAUUCUAUGAUCAAGUGCCGAAAACCCAUCAAGAGAUGUGUUGUACAAAUUCUAUAUUGUUAAUCCAUAACUCCAAUACUCAUAAUUGCUCCCACCAAGAUACCGGGUAAUCUUGACCACAAGGCUGUGUCGUGCCCAUUGGUAACUCAAAUGGAAUAACAAUUACAAUCAUGAAAUCAUAAUUAACUCAAGAUUAAGAUUACAGUAAAAUCAACGCCUAUGAGAUUUAAUAAGUCUGACAGUUAUUACAAAGUUAAUUAAAUCUCAUAUGUGAUCCUGUUCAAUGUAGUCGUACUACAUCAAUAAAUUCAUACAUGAUUAAGACAAAUCAUUCAAUGAAUUUAUUACAGUCUAUACCUAAAUAAAGUGCCCAACUUUAUUUAUCAACUGCGAACUAAAUUUAUUUAAUCAUAAGAUAACUUGUAUUUAUGUCUUCUGUGAAUCCACAUGGUGAUCACAUAAAUACAUAUAAUAUGAUUAAAUGGACUUUAAUACAAAUAUAAAUGCAAUUAAGAUAUUUGAAUAAAAUACCUCAUUUAUUUGGAUAGACACUCAGGCUACAACCAGAUUGCUAUAACACCAGAGGAUCAGGAGAAUACAUCAUUUACUUGUCCUUAUGGAACCUUUGCCUUGGGAAGAAUGCCAUUUGGUCUGUGCAAUGUUUUAACAACUUUCUAGAGGUGUAUGAUGUCUAUUUUUUCAUAUAUGCUUAAGCAAACUCUUGAGGUAUUUAUGGAUGAUUUUUCAAUUCUUGGGAAUCAUAUGAUAAUUGUUUGCAUAAUCUAAAAAAUGUGCUUAAGAGAUGUGAAAAGACAAACUUAGUAUUGAAUUGGAAAAAAUGUCAUUUUAUGGUACAAGAAGGGAUAGUAUUAGGUCAUAGGGUCCCUAGAAAGGGAAUAGAGGUGGAUAAGGCAAAAAUAGAGGUGAAUGAUAAACUUCCGCCACCUACUUUAGUAAAAGGCAUUAGGAGUUUCUUAGGACAUGGUGUGUUUUAUAAAAGGUUUAUUAAGGUUUUUUUUCCAAAUAUUCAAACCUUUAUACAUGUUGCUGAACCAUGCUCAAAGGCCUUUGUUAGGUUAAAGAGAGCCCUUGUUACAAUAGUAAUUGUUGUAGCACCCGAUUGGAGUAUGCCUUUUGAGUUAAUUUGUGAUAUUAGUGACCACUCUGUUGGAGCAAUGCUAAGGCAUAUGAAAGGCAUGAUUUUUCACUCCAUUUAUUAUACUAGCGAGACCCUAGCUGAUGCACAACUCAAUUUUACUACUAUUGAGAAAGAGUUGCUGACAAUAUUUUCUGCAUUUGAUAAAUUUAGAGCUUAUUUUGUUGGUACCAAAGUAACUAUUUAUACAGAUCACUCAGUAUAAAGUAUUUGAUUUUAAAGAAAGAUGUCGAACUAAGGUUGAUUACGUAAAUUAUGUUACUACAAGAGUUUGACUUAGAGAUCGAGGACAACAAAGGCACUGAGAAUUAAGUCGCAGAUUAUCUCUAAAGGCUGGAAGUAAAUGUAAGCACUCUAACUAAGCAAGACAUAACAGAAACAUUUUUUGAUAAGUAGUUACUGAUGAUACAACACGUAUAAAUGCUGUAGCAAUUUGGAUUUUCAUGCUAUGUAGAUUUUCUUAAUUAUUUGAUCUGAGCUACGAGCAGAAGAAUAGAUUUCUCCAUGAUAUUAGAAGCUAUCGCUGGGAUGAUCCCUACUUGUACAAGAUGUGUUCCAAUCAUAUGAUCAGAAGAUGUGUUUCUGAUGAAGAAAUUUCAAACAUCUGUAGUCUUGUCAUGUUGCAGCACAUGGUGGACAUUUUAUAGACACAGAACAACAACAAAAGUUCUUCAAUCAGGAUAUUACUGGCCUUUCAUUUUUAGAGAUGCUUAUGAGUUUGUUAAAUGUUGUGACAGGUGCCAAGGAACAUGAAACAUCUCUCAAAAGCAUGAAAUGCCACUAACUAACAUCUUGGAGGUUAAACUUUUUUAUGUAUGGGGAAUAGACUUUAUGGGACCAUUUCCACCCUCCUUUGGCAACCUAUACAUCUUAAUUGCUGUGGACUAUGUAUCUAAGUGGAUAGAAGCCGCAGCAUCGCCAACAAAUGAUGCUAAGACAGUCGUGAAGUUUCUUCAGAAGAACAUUUUCUCAAGAUUUGGCACUUCUAAAGCCAUUGUCAGUGAUAAAGGAACCCAUUUUUGCAAUAAGAUGUUUGUUGCAGCAUUGACUAAGUAUAAGAUCAAGCAUAAGGUUGCUACAGCAUAUCAUCCACAAACAAGUGGUUAGGCAGAAGUAUCUAACAAGGAGAUAAAAAAGAUUCUGGAGAAAGUAGUGAAUCCAAAUUGAAAAGAUUGGUCUCUUAGACUAAAUGACUCCUUAUGGGCUUAUCGAACAACUUACAAAACCCCACUUAACUUGUCUCCAUAUCGAAUUAUUUAUGGUCAAGCUUGCCACUUGCCAUUAGACCUAGAGCACAAAGCAUAUUGGGCAAUAAACAAUUAAAUAUGGAUACAACAAUUGCAAUAGAGCAAAGGAUGUUAAGCUUUGUGAGCUAGAAGAGUUGCGGUUUUUCUCUUAUGAAAAUGCAAGACUCUACAAGGAGAGGACCAAGCAAUGACAUGACAAGCAAAUUCAGUAUAGGGAGCUCAUUUCAGGCCACCAAGUCUUGCUCUAUGAUUCACGAUUAAAACUUUUCCUUGGAAAAUUAAAGUUUAGAUGGUCAUGAUCUUUCAAACUUAUCAAGGUUUAUCCUCACGGGGCUGUAGAGUUCCAAGAUGAAAGGAUAGGUCAAAAAUUCAAGGUGAAUGGACAAAGAGUGAAGCACUACAUUAAACUUGUUGUGAAUAAUCCAAGGGAGGAUUUGUUCUUAAAGGAUCUAGCUUGAGCAAUCAGAGAUGGUCAGGUUGAAGGACUUAAAAUUAAGCGUUGAUUGGGAGAUAACCCAAUAAGGGAAGUUGUUUUAUAAUACCCAAAUCUAACAAGUGCGGUGCACACGAUUAAGAAGGUUGCUUACAAAUCAUAAUCCUUACACAAAAAAUCUCAAACUGAAAUACCUCAAAUUUUUAAUCAACUAAAACCACAAAUCUAUGUGUCUAACACGAAAUAAUCUCUCUCGAAGACAUAAAUAUAACAAAAGUCUUAUAACUCCCCAAUUACAGGUUCAUAAAAUAAAUAAACUUGAAAGAAACAUGAGUUUAUCAUUCCCUUAUUUAACUAGCAAAAGGACACAAAUCUUUAACUCCAAUGAUAAGCACACCUCUCAACAAGGUACUUAAUCUACAAAAAGUAAUGACGAGGGGUGAGCCGUCAACUUGGUAAGUAAAACAAUUUCCAACACACUAAGCUUAUUGAUACAAAAAAUAUUGCAAACCUUCUUUUUAUUAAAACAUAUUAUAGUUAAUAAAUUUCAUAAAACGACAUAUCACUCUAAAAUGACAUAAAUUCAUAAAAAAUCAUAAUAUCAAAAGCAUAAUUAAUUGUGGAAGUAAAUUGUAUAACACAUAGAUAGAAAACAAAAUGUUAGCUUAUGUCACAUAGUGUCACCUGUACUCUUGGUAAUCUAGCUAGAAAUAGAAUUUGAAUUAGAUAUUGUGUGCACACUCAGAAUAGAAACCCAAUACUGGUCUAGAAUAUUCAGAAUAACUAUGGACAAUGAGCCAAAACAUUCAAAUUAGUUUUUCAUAUGUAAUGGCUUGUAUGUGGCAUUUCGCGAUGUUUUGGCCCUUGAGAAGUGGCCCCCAUAUAAUCUCAAGAGGUGGCCCUCGUACAAUCAUAAAUAAUUUAAAUCGUACAUGGGCAAAAAGUAUUCGUAUCAGAUUCAAAAAUGUCUAUAACAAU